GACGAACGCUGGCGGCGUGCUUAACACAUGCAAGUCGAACGAAGUGGCGAACGGGUGAGUAACGCGUAAUCAACCUGCCCUUCAGAGGGGGACAACAGUUGGAAACGACUGCUAAUACCGCAUACUGAAGGAGGGGAUUGCGUCUGAUUAGCUAGUGGGAGGGGUAACGGCCCACCAAGGCGAUGAUCAGUAGCCGGUCUGAGGGGAUGAACGGCAACAUUGGGACUGAGAAACGGCCCAGACUCCUACGGGAGGCAGCAAUGGGGAAACUUCCGAAAAGGAGGAAAGUCUGGCGGAACAACGCCGCGGGGGUGAUGACGGCCUUCGGGUUGUAAAACUCUGUUAAUCGGGGCGCGGUACCGGAAUAGAAAGCCACGGCUAACUACGUGCCAGCAGCCGCGGUAAUAC
RNAcentral lists this ribosomal RNA (408 nucleotides) under uncultured bacterium. RNAcentral describes it as "partial 16S ribosomal RNA". It matches the Rfam family "Bacterial small subunit ribosomal RNA", at positions 28 to 526 of the family's 1533-position model. The record is from RNAcentral.